CAUUCUUAGCAAGAGAAAAAUUCAGUAUGGAAUAAUUAAAUUGUAGGUUUUGGAUAUUCUUUCCCAGUGAUGGAAAAGACGAGCAGUACAGUCACAUUAAGCAUAUGCUCUACCACUGAGCUCCUCCCCCAACACAAGGACUGGAAAAUUUGAUCAUCCUUUGCAGGGUUACCUGGCUGGAUGACACGCAGAGAUGUGGCCCGACUUCUCAAGAGAAGCUUUCCUUCACACUUCUUACCGUACCCUUAAUUGGAAAACAAGUUAGUCCUCGAAGGUCUUCUUCCGGUGAGGCUCCUAAAGAUGAUGCUGAAGCCAAGUGUAUCUUCUCCUGUCUCCAUUCUCAUGCCCUGGGGCCACCUUGGUUAAUGGGUCUUUCGGAUUUCUUCCCUGAGGUGGUUACAGCUUCUGGAUUUGUUUGAAAAAUCUUAGAUCCUCUUUCUGACUCUGCUAUUAUUAUGGGGUUCCCCCCAUCAGCCAGAAACUGCAUUUGACUCAAGCUCUUAGAAUUUCAUAGUUUUGAAAGUCCUUAAAGGUCAUCAAGUCUAACAUCUCCAUCCUACUCACCUUCUGAUAUUUGAAUCUUCUCUGUACCAGAAGAAGUAUCUCAAGUGCCUUUCUAACUUUUGUUUGAAUGCCUCCAAUGACAAGGAACUUACUACUUCACAAGCAUCUCAUUUCAUCUGCCUAUGAAGUUUCUUAUUCUACUGAAUUGUCGUCUAAAUCCUGGCUUCUACCUACUGAAAGAGACAGUUCAUCACUGAAGAAGAAAUCAAGUCAAAUUGGCUAGCAGGAAGAAACUCUUUGGGAAUCCUUAGCUUCAUUAGAAGUACACUUUUGUUCAAAUGAAGUGUUAAAAUUAAAGCAGUAUAUAUCUGAGUGGGGCCAAUUGGCAUGAACUCAUCACAGCAUAUGGUGUGCUUCCUUUUAUAUGCAUGUUUAGCAGCUAGUGGGUACCAAACCUCGCACAGCUCUCAAUUGCUAGCACUAAUGAAGGAUCUGUUUGCCUUUGGGGAUAAAGAUGGUAUCACUGAUUCACAGUUGUUUUUCCAGGAGUGAAGAACAGAUUUUACUUCCUCAUUCAAACUCUUGCUUGGUCCUUUCCCUUCCCCACUACCACUGUCCUAAUUCAGGCACCAUUCUCUCUUGCCAGGAUUGUUCACUUGCCUCUACCUGGCCUUCCAGCUUCCAGUUCUGGCCCUCUCUGGUCUAAGGUAACAUUGCCAGGGGAAUCUUAAUGUCACAGAUUUGAGGUAUCACUUCUGGAUCAAAAUGCUUCAGUGACUCCUCUUAGCUCCAGCAUGGAGUCUAAAUUUCUUAGCAUGGCAAAUAGGUAGGGA
RNAcentral lists this long non-coding RNA (1337 nucleotides) under Heterocephalus glaber (naked mole-rat). Its description in RNAcentral is "lncRNA (ENSHGLG00100036268.1)". Lineage: Eukaryota; Metazoa; Chordata; Mammalia; Rodentia; Bathyergidae. The record is from RNAcentral.